CCCAAGUCGGAAGCUCAACUGACUGAGCCACCCAGGCAUCCCAAACACUUGAACACUUCAAUGACACAUUAGAAAAAGAUAGGAAGCUGAUAAAAACUGUAGUAUACUUACACACUUUCUAAGUGUUUAGGAAAUAGAUAAAUAAUACAGUAUGAAACUUUACCUUGACAGAGACCUGAAGCUCACUUGGGAGGGGGCCUCAGAAUUACAGCCCGAAGGUUAGUGAAGUGGUGAAGUGAGAGUGAUCUGAAAUCUGUCGGAGAGUUGCAGUGCCAGCUGUGUAUAGGGGUGGCUCACAGCACAGCUGGGAUAGCUGGUAGAUAUUUGAGGUGUGCGCAUGUAUGCCUUUUGUUCAUUCCUAUGCGUCUUGGUUCAGAAGGGUGCAGCUUUCUGCUGUCAUGUGGUUGUUGUCAUUAAUGAAAUUGAGCAUAAGCAACUGUGAAAUUUGUAUCAUGCUCAAUCUGUUCCUUAACUAUAAAUCUCAUUGCAACAGAUUUCUGUUUUCAGAGGAGGCAUCAUAGUAGGGCUCACCACGAUGACACUUCAACCCUGAGUGGCAACAUGAAGACAUACAAAAGCCUGUUUUCCAACUUGCAGAUCAGAGAACAGACCGGGUCCUGGGAGACCAAAUGGUUUCAUGUCAAGUACACAGCACCUGUGACAAAGCUCCUCCCUCUCCCACUUUCUCAGCACUCCAUUUUUGUUCAUGUAUCUACUUCUCCACCAUGUGACUGAGAGAAAGCUUAUCUGGAUACUAGAACCUGAUUUAUCUGAGCCAAUAAAUGCAUGGCAUUGCCCUGGUGACAUUACUUAUUCAGAGUCGGGCAUAAGGAACUAAAUUUGCCCAAUUAUAGUCUAUGAUUGUGGGAGAGGUUUCUUCAGCUCUUUCAUAAGAUCUGAACAAAAGGCAAUGAUUCACUUAAUAUGUCAACAAACUUGGGACCAUGAGGUCCCAAAUCAAGGAGAAGCUGACAGAUAAAAGACAACCAACAGAGAGAUUUUUGAAACCUGAGUUCUUGAUGACAGCACUGAGCUACUGAAAAUAUCAGUCUGAGAAUCCUACUGACUUCUGAGCUUUUUAGUAUGUGAGAUGAUAAAUAUUCCUAUUAAGUUAUUUUGAAUCAUUUUAUUUAACUUGUCAAAAGUAAGUUUCUUUUAAAAUAAUAUAACAUUAAUAGGUGCUUAUAAUCAUAUGAAAACAUUGAAAAGAGAAUCAAAGAAAAUAAAAAGAUCUAUAGCAGUGAUAUCUGGAGAUGCCACUGUUGACAUUAAGGUGUUAAUUGAAAUUUUUUUAGCUUUUGCAGAUAUAGGUUGUAUCUUUUAUAAAUGUUAUUUGAAGGGCUACAUUUAUGUAUUUAUCAAUAAAUUACACUGUUUAUGUCU
This is a long non-coding RNA of Felis catus (domestic cat), 1383 nucleotides long. RefSeq lists it as uncharacterized. The record is from RefSeq and is a predicted model, not a curated record. Lineage: Eukaryota; Metazoa; Chordata; Mammalia; Carnivora; Felidae. The transcript has 2 exons.